Molecule: ribosomal RNA, 125 nt
Filed under: Ticodendron incognitum
Lineage: Eukaryota; Viridiplantae; Streptophyta; Magnoliopsida; Fagales; Ticodendraceae
Description: partial 18S ribosomal RNA
Rfam family: Eukaryotic small subunit ribosomal RNA
Source: RNAcentral
CUGAUCGAGGCGACGCUGGCGGUCCGCUGCCGGCAACAUCGCGAGAAGUCCACUGAACCUUAUCAUUUAGAGGAAGGAGAAGUCGUAACAAGGUUUCCGUAGGUGAACCUGCGGAAGGAUCAUUG